Molecule: non-coding RNA, 1001 nt
Organism: Oreochromis aureus
Lineage: Eukaryota; Metazoa; Chordata; Actinopteri; Cichliformes; Cichlidae
Source: the annotation of a RefSeq genome assembly
AUGACUUUGAUCUGCGUCCUCAUCUGGACUCUCCUCUGCUGCUGCUUCACAGAGUCCAGAGGACAGAUCACAGUGACUCAGCCUGGAGCAGUGAGCUCUGCUGUGGGAGGAUCUGUCACCAUCAGAUGUACUACCAGCCAUAGGGUAGAUGAAGGUGAUGAUCUGUCCUGGUACCAACAGAAAGAUGGACAAACUCCUAUAAUGCUCAUAUAUAAUGGUGUCACUCGAGUAUCAGGGAUUCCAGCUCGUUUUACAGGCAGUGGAUCAAACUCUGACUUCACUCUGACCAUCAGUGGAGUCCAGGCUGAAGAUGCAGCAGUUUAUUACUGUCUGGGUGAAUUCAAUGUUAACAGUCAGUGGGUGUUCACACAGUGAAAAACAGUCGUACAAAAACCUCCCUCAGUCAGACUGAACAGAAACUGAACUGACUGCUGCAGCUGGAAGAUACUGCGGAGACUGAUACAGUUCACUGAGGACACACACACACAUAUUUUUUUCAAUAUAAAGCGCCUUGAGGCGACUUUUGUUGUGAUUUGUCGCUAUAUAAAUAAAAUUGAAUUCAAUUGAAAUUUUAUAGAGCUGAAAUAUUUCUGCUUUAAAAAUAAAUUAGCAUCAAAAUAUCCAUCCAUCCCUUUACUAUCUGCAGUAUCAUAUUCAGGAAUUGAAGUAACAAGUCAUAAAAAAUGUGACAAGAAUGAGCACAUUUUCAUUCUUUCAUGCUUUCAUUCUUCAUUGAAAUUAAUAUGCUCAAAUAUUUAGUGUGAACUCUGCAAACACCAUUGCUUGUGAAAAAUAAUGUAGUGAUUUAAAAUUGUGGACUUUACUGUGUUUAAAUAGUUAUGAUUGAUAAGGAUGAACACAUUCACAGAAUUACGUUUACAACUGACAUUGUUGGAAAUGCAGGAAACAUUUUGAAUUUUAAAUGAUUUGGACUUCUCAUGUUUUUAGUAUCAUCAUGAAUAAUCAUCCUGAAGAAUACUUGGUCAUAGGGGGCUCUCUGA